RNAcentral lists this ribosomal RNA (460 nucleotides) under uncultured bacterium. RNAcentral's name for it is "partial 16S ribosomal RNA". It matches the Rfam family "Bacterial small subunit ribosomal RNA", at positions 338 to 795 of the family's 1533-position model. The record is from RNAcentral.
CCUACGGGAGGCAGCAGUGAGGAAUAUUGGUCAAUGGGCGGGAGCCUGAACCAGCGAAGUCGCGUGAGUGAAGACGUUCCUAUGUAUUGUAAACCUCUUUAGGCGGGGAGCAAUUCCGGGCACGCGUGCACGGAGCGCUAGUACCCGCAGUAUAAGCAUCGGCUAACUCCGUUCCAGCAGCCGCGUUAAUACGGGGGAUGCGAUCUUUAUCCGGCUUUAUUGGGUUUAAAGGAUACGUAGGCGGAUGUGUAAGUCAGCGGUAAAAUGUCCGGGAUAAACCCGGGCCGGCCGUUGAAACUGGGGAGCGUGAGUGGGCGAGAAGUAUGCGGAAUGCGUGGUGUAGCGGGGAAAUGCAUAGAUAUCACGAAGAACACCGACUGCGAAGGCAGCAUACCGGCGCCCGACUGACGCUGAGGCACGAAAGCGUGGGGAUCGAACAGGAUUAGAUACCCCUGUAGUC